GGCAGGUUCUCCUACGGGGGAGGAGCAGUAGGGAAUCUUCCACAAUGGACGCAAGUCUGAUGGAGCAACGCCGCGUGAGUGAAGAAGGUUUUCGGAUCGUAAAGCUCUGUUGUUGGUGAAGAAGGACAUGGGUAGUAACUGAUCUAUGUUUGACGGUAAUCAACCAGAAAGUCACGGCUAACUACGUGCCAGCAGCCGCGGUAAUACGUAGGUGGCAAGCGUUGUCCGGAUUUAUUGGGCGUAAAGCGAACGCAGGCGGGAGAACAAGUCAGCUGUGAAAGCCCUCGGCUUAACCGAGGAACGGCAACUGAAACUGUUUUUCUUGAGUGCAGAAGAGGAGAGUGGAACUCCAUGUGUAGCGGUGAAAUGCGUAGAUAUAUGGAAGAACACCAGUGGCGAAGGCGGCUCUCUGGUCUGUAACUGACGCUGAGGUUCGAAAGCAUGGGUAGCGAACAGGAUUAGAUACCCUGGUAGUCCAUGCCGUAAACGAUGAGUGCUAAGUGUUGGGAGGUUUCCGCCUCUCAGUGCUGCAGCUAACGCAUUAAGCACUCCGCCCUGGGGAGGCGCCG
RNAcentral lists this ribosomal RNA (569 nucleotides) under Lactobacillus apis. Its description in RNAcentral is "bacterial SSU rRNA". It matches the Rfam family "Bacterial small subunit ribosomal RNA", at positions 328 to 873 of the family's 1533-position model. The record is from RNAcentral. Lineage: Bacteria; Bacillati; Bacillota; Bacilli; Lactobacillales; Lactobacillaceae.